Molecule: transfer RNA, 72 nt
Filed under: Bos taurus (domestic cattle)
Lineage: Eukaryota; Metazoa; Chordata; Mammalia; Artiodactyla; Bovidae
Also listed under: 1 other name
Rfam family: tRNA
About the family: Transfer RNA (tRNA) molecules are approximately 80 nucleotides in length. Their secondary structure includes four short double-helical elements and three loops (D, anti-codon, and T loops).
Source: Rfam by way of RNAcentral
UCCCUGAUAGCUCAGUUGGUAAAGAAUCUGCCUGCAAUUCAGAAGACCUGGGUUCGAUCCCUGGGUUGGGAA